Molecule: ribosomal RNA, 414 nt
Filed under: uncultured eukaryote
Lineage: Eukaryota
Description: SSU rRNA
Rfam family: Eukaryotic small subunit ribosomal RNA
Source: RNAcentral
CCGUGGCAACCCCAGAGCCAAUACACGCAAAAAGCCCCGACCGUACGGGAAGAGCGCCCCUACUAGACCAAAACCAAUGGGGUCGCAAGAUCCCUCCGUAUGGUGACUCCGGAUAACUUUGUGCUGAUCGCAUGGCCUAGAGCCGGCGACGUAUCUUUCAAGUGUCUGCCCUAUCAACUUUCGAUGGUAAGCGAUUUGCCUACCAUGGUUGUAACGGGUAACGGGGAAUCAGGGUUCGAUUCCGGAGAGGGAGCAUGAGAAACGGCUACCACAUCUACGGAAGGCAGCAGGCGCGCAAAUUACCCACUCCUAGAACGGGGAGGUAGUGACGAAAAAUAACAAUACCGGACUCAAUGAGGCUCGGUAAUUGAAAUGAGUACAGUUUAAAACCCUUAACGAGGAUCUAUUGGAGGG